CUACUUAUGAAUCCAUAUUCCAAAUCUCAUUCAUGUUACACACUUAUUGAAAUGCAGCGAUUUCUCUAUUUUGGUAUUAUAUAAUUGCCUUUUAUUUUUUUUUUAAGAUGUAUACACAUGGUUAUGCAUGUCCAGCAAUUUCAACCAAUUAUUAUGUAUAUGUUUUAGAUGGUAUGUGUCAUAUGGAUUUGUUUAAUUUACAGAACGUAUUGUAUCUGUUUGGUUACUUGUGAUAAUCAUUAUGUAAUCAUUAUAAGUAUUUUUUUUCC
This 269-nucleotide long non-coding RNA is filed under the name Elaeis guineensis (African oil palm). Its description in RNAcentral is "long non-coding RNA (EGUI_LNC031891)". Lineage: Eukaryota; Viridiplantae; Streptophyta; Magnoliopsida; Arecales; Arecaceae. The record is from RNAcentral.